UCCGGUUUGUCACCGGCAGUCUCCUAUGAGUCCCCAACUUAAUGCUGGCAACAUAGGACAGGGGUUGCGCUCGUUGCGGGACUUAACCCAACAUCUCACGACACGAGCUGACGACAGCCUUGCAGCACCUGUCUUGGAACUCCGAAGAGGGGUCCUGGUUUCUCAGGACUUUCUCCAAGAUGUCAAGCCCAGGUAAGGUUCUUCGCGUUGCGUCGAAUUAAACCACGUGCUCCACCGCUUGUGCGGGCCCCCGUCAAUUCCUUUGAGUUUCAGCCUUGCGGCCGUACUCCCCAGGCGGGGCACUUACUGCGUUAGCGACGGCACCGGGAGGGUCGCUCCCCCCGACGCCUAGUGCCCAUCGUUUACGGCGUGGACUAC
This 378-nucleotide unclassified non-coding RNA is filed under the name uncultured bacterium. Its description in RNAcentral is "contains 16S-23S intergenic spacer region". The record is from RNAcentral.